CAAGAAUAUUAGUCAAUGCUCGUAAGAGUGAACUAGCUAACUGAAAUCUUAAUAUUUUUUUAUUGUUAAGAUAAGGUAAGAGAAAAUAAUGAUAUUAUCUUACUAUUAGUGUCGUCUAAAUUUGGUGCCAGAAGACUCGGUAAGACCUUAGACGCAAACGUUAAUCGUCAUAAUCAGGCGUAAAGGGUGUGUAGGCGGCUUUAAAAUAUAAUUUAUUUAUAUUAAAAUUAAAGCUAGAAUCUAAAAGAGGGUAAGCUAAACAACAUAAUUAAUUAGGACUGACAACUUAUAAUAAUGUGGAGUACUAAAGGUUAAAGCUAUUUAUCUACUUAAGAUUGACGCUCAGAAACGAAGGGGAGAAUAAGAAACUUAGAUUAGAUACCUAAUUAUCUCUCUCAGUCAACGAUGAAUGGUAGUUAUUAAAAAUACAAAUAUAAUAACAAAUUAUAUAUAAAUUAGUAACGAGGUUAACACGAUGACCAUUCCGCCUUGUUAGUAAGACUGCAAAGUUGAAAACAAAAAAAUUAGUCGGUCUUGAAGCAAACGAAGUGAAGCAUGUUAUUUAAUUCGAUAAUCCGCA
This 580-nucleotide ribosomal RNA is filed under the name Turmalinea chrysocarpa. RNAcentral describes it as "partial small subunit ribosomal RNA". It matches the Rfam family "Bacterial small subunit ribosomal RNA", at positions 356 to 963 of the family's 1533-position model. The record is from RNAcentral. Lineage: Eukaryota; Fungi; Basidiomycota; Agaricomycetes; Boletales; Boletaceae.